Molecule: ribosomal RNA, 475 nt
Filed under: Acrapex vetiveria
Lineage: Eukaryota; Metazoa; Arthropoda; Insecta; Lepidoptera; Noctuidae
Description: partial 16S large subunit ribosomal RNA
Source: RNAcentral
UGUCUUUUUGGAAAUAAUAUAAAGUCUAAUCUGCCCACUGAUUAAAUAAUUAAAGGGCUGCAGUAUAUUGACUGUACAAAGGUAGCAUAAUCAUUAGUCAUUUAAUUGAUGACUUGUAUGAAAGAUUUGAUGAAAUAUGAACUGUCUCUUAUUUAAUUAUAAAAUUUAAUUUUUUUAUUAAAAAGUUAAAAUAUUUUAAAAAGACGAGAAGACCCUAUAGAGUUUAAUAAAUUAUUAAAUUAAGAUUAUAUGUAAAAUAAAUUUGAAAUUAAAUUAUUUAUUUUGUUGGGGUGACAAAAAAAUAUAUAAAACUUUUUUUACAUAAAAACAUUUAUAAGUGAUUAUAUGAUCCAGUAAUAUUGAUUAUAAGAAAAAAUUACCUUAGGGAUAACAGCGUAAUUUUUUUUUUUAGUACAAAUAAGAAAAAGAGUUUGCGACCUCGAUGUUGGAUUAAGAUAAAAUUUAAAUGUAGAAG